CCAGACUCCUACGGGAGGCAGCAGUGGGGAAUAUUGCACAAUGGGGGAAACCCUGAUGCAGCGACGCCGCGUGAGUGAAGAAGUAUUUCGGUAUGUAAAGCUCUAUCAGCAGGGAAGAAAAUGACGGUACCUGACUAAGAAGCCCCGGCUAACUACGUGCCAGCAGCCGCGGUAAUACGUAGGGGGCAAGCGUUAUCCGGAUUUACUGGGUGUAAAGGGAGCGUAGACGGCAUGGCAAGUCAGAUGUGAAAGGCCGGGGCUCAACCCCGGGACUGCAUUUGAAACUGUCAGGCUGGAGUGCAGGAGAGGUAAGUGGAAUUCCUAGUGUAGCGGUGAAAUGCGUAGAUAUUAGGAGGAACACCAGUGGCGAAGGCGGCUUACUGGACUGUAACUGACGUUGAGGCUCGAAAGCGUGGGGAGCAAACAGGAUUAGAUACCCCGGUAUA
Molecule: ribosomal RNA, 446 nt
Filed under: uncultured bacterium
Lineage: Bacteria
Description: bacterial SSU rRNA
Rfam family: Bacterial small subunit ribosomal RNA
Source: RNAcentral